RNAcentral lists this small RNA (132 nucleotides) under Klebsiella sp. A-Nf5. RNAcentral describes it as "RtT sRNA". It matches the Rfam family "RtT RNA". Rfam says of the family: This family represents a bacterial cis-regulatory element known as RtT RNA. The exact function of RtT is unknown although it is thought that it may be involved in changing the cellular response in relation to amino acid starvation. Lineage: Bacteria; Pseudomonadati; Pseudomonadota; Gammaproteobacteria; Enterobacterales; Enterobacteriaceae. The record is from RNAcentral.
UAUUCUACCCUACGGGGAAGGAUGAGAAGCUUCGACUAAGGUUCGACUCGAGCGUAGCGAGAGAACGUUGCCGCAGGCAACGGCCCGAAGGGCGAGGAGCGAUAGCGACGAGUUAUCCUUCCCCCACUACUG